This 482-nucleotide ribosomal RNA is filed under the name uncultured bacterium. RNAcentral's name for it is "partial 16S ribosomal RNA". It matches the Rfam family "Bacterial small subunit ribosomal RNA", at positions 30 to 507 of the family's 1533-position model. The record is from RNAcentral.
AUUGAACGCUGGCGGCAUGCUUUACACAUGCAAGUCGAACGGUAACAGGCCGCCAGGUGCUGACGAGUGGCGAACGGGUGAGUAAUGCAUCGGAACGUGCCCAGUCGUGGGGGAUAACUACUCGAAAGAGUAGCUAAUACCGCAUACGAUCUAUGGAUGAAAGCGGGGGACCGUAAGGCCUCGCGCGAUUGGAUCGGCCGAUGUCAGAUUAGGUAGUUGGUGGGGUAAAGGCUCACCAAGCCAAAGAUCUGUAGCUGGUCUGAGAGGACGACCAGCCACACUGGGACUGAGACACGGCCCAGACUCCUACGGGAGGCAGCAGUGGGGAAUUUUGGACAAUGGGGGCAAGCAUGAUCCAGCAAUGCCGCGUGCAGGAAGAAGGCCUUCGGGUUGUAAACUGCUUUUGUACGGAACGAAACGGCUCUGGUUAAUACCCGGGGCUAAUGACGGUACCGUAAGAAUAAGCACCGGCUAACUACGUG